This 106-nucleotide small nucleolar RNA is filed under the name Cephalotus follicularis. RNAcentral describes it as "Plant small nucleolar RNA R71". It matches the Rfam family "Plant small nucleolar RNA R71". Rfam says of the family: R71 is a member of the C/D box family of snoRNAs containing the C (UGAUGA) and D (CUGA) box motifs. Multiple nearly identical copies of this snoRNA have been identified in Arabidopsis, and it is thought to function as a 2'-O-ribose methylation guide for 18S ribosomal RNA. Lineage: Eukaryota; Viridiplantae; Streptophyta; Magnoliopsida; Oxalidales; Cephalotaceae. The record is from Rfam by way of RNAcentral.
ACGGCAUGAUGGGGACAUAUUCGAAUGAGGUCCUUUAAUCUUUCUUAUGACUCAUGGAACCGCUCACCAUCUUGCUGUGAGAAGCUAGUGAGAUCUCGUCUUAUCU